This 71-nucleotide transfer RNA is filed under the name Cordylochernes scorpioides. Its description in RNAcentral is "tRNA-Gly". The record is from RNAcentral. Lineage: Eukaryota; Metazoa; Arthropoda; Arachnida; Pseudoscorpiones; Chernetidae.
UGCAUCGACCGGGAAUCGAACCCGGGCCGCCCGCAUGGCAGGCGAGCAUUCUACCACUGAACCACCGAUGC